AAGGAGGUGAUCCAGCCGCACCUUCCGAUACGGCUACCUUGUUACGACUUCACCCCAAUCAUCUGUCCCACCUUCGGCGGCUGGCUCCAAAAAGGUUACCUCACCGACUUCGGGUGUUACAAACUCUCGUGGUGUGACGGGCGGUGUGUACAAGGCCCGGGAACGUAUUCACCGCGGCAUGCUGAUCCGCGAUUACUAGCGAUUCCAGCUUCACGCAGUCGAGUUGCAGACUGCGAUCCGAACUGAGAACAGAUUUGUGGGAUUGGCUUAACCUCGCGGUUUCGCUGCCCUUUGUUCUGCCCAUUGUAGCACGUGUGUAGCCCAGGUCAUAAGGGGCAUGAUGAUUUGACGUCAUCCCCNCCUUCCUCCGGUUUGUCACCGGCAGUCACCUUAGAGUGCCCAACUGAAUGCUGGCAACUAAGAUCAAGGGUUGCGCUCGUUGCGGGACUUAACCCAACAUCUCACGACACGAGCUGA
This 477-nucleotide ribosomal RNA is filed under the name Bacillus sp. 2. RNAcentral's name for it is "partial 16S ribosomal RNA". Lineage: Bacteria; Bacillati; Bacillota; Bacilli; Caryophanales; Bacillaceae. The record is from RNAcentral.